GUCCUCAAUAAACUUUCGACGUUUUUGAUGUUCUCGGACUUUCCGAAGCACACCAACUCGACAAUUAGUCGAUUUUAAACAUAGUCAAAUCCUCGAAUUUCGAGAAUUCACCUCCCUUACAAUAUAUCCCGCUUGAAUUCCUCCCACAACAUUGGCGGAAGAUCGGAAGGCCGAUCCCGCUUCACGCACUUCCACCACACCUUCGCCGCUUUCUCCAAGCAAUGGGUGGCGAGGUACACCUUAUCCCUCUCCAAGGUACGCAAAUCAUCGAAGAGGGUUUCCAUCGAGUCGAUCCAAGACUCGACCAUCGCCGGCUCCACCUUCUUGCCCUCAAAAGUUGGCGGAUGGAACUUGUUAAACUUGAUAAGAGCCGCCAAUGCGCGCUCUCCUUCCACAUCUUCGGCCGUCACAUCGGGUGUAGCCGAUCCCGACGCCGCAAGAGGAACAAUUGUCGGCGGGGGACGCGCCGCCACCGGAACCGCCGCUAUACCCUCACCCUCAGCUGGCUCAGGCACGCGAGUCAAGGGUACGGGCACCUCGCAUCCAUCCGUCGCCGUUGCGACCGCCGCCGCAGCCUGCCGCUCCAAGAGCUCCUGGAGCCGCUCGAAUCGGGUCUCCUGGCGCUGCACCACAUCGGUCAGCGCAGUCACUUGCGCUUGCAACCGAUCCAUCACGCUCGGUUCAUCCUGCUCGGGCACCUCAGAAGUUGGUGCUGGGGCAGAUCUACGAGUGUAGCGUCUUGGAGACAUUAGUCCCUGAAACGCAAAUACUUGGUCAGUCAUCUUAACCAAUUACCUCGUCGAACUUACGACACAAGACGACUCCCUAACGAAAUCGAGCGGAAGCAUACAAGCAUACUCGUUCUAGAUUCUUGGCAUCACGUCGUCGGCCGCCGACAUAACCACCUCAAAUCAAGAACUAAUACCACUUGAAUCCGUCUCUAUUCACAACUAGAGACAUAUUAUCAACUUCGACCCAAUCGAAUUAACUUCCGCCAUCGUUAUAGGUUCACGUUCCGCUCACGCACCUAUAACCUUAGGGCUCACCAACUAGGGUCUCCUAGGUCAUCCUAGACUUUCUCUCUCUACUUGCUCUUGUUGCUCUGAUACCACUAUACCUGUCACACCCCGCCCCGAAACCACUACCAGUUUGGCAUGAUUCGGGCGCGGCGGCGGACCGCCGAACGGACAGCACCUCCCCUGUCCGCCCAAGGCUCAACAACGGGAAUGUGUACAAGAAUUUACCCAGGAAUUUAAAUUCUAAACAUACACAUUCAACGAGGGCACAAACAGUGCCAACAACAAGAAGAGCAAGCAAUCCACAAGAAUGACAUGUGAAAUAAAGAGAGGACUUUACUAACUAUUACAAUAGUUUGCAUUCUUUUUCAUUUACAUCAUUUUCUCAAAAUGUAUACAUUUGAUCCUCAAAAUACAUAGCCCUCCAACCUCACCUACAUGAAUCUCUCUCAAUACAUAGGUGUGCUAAUGCAAAAGGAAAGCUACUAUACUACCGCGGUCUCACUGGUCGGCGGAUCCUUGCCCCGUCCUCUCUCGGCAACCUGUACUACACUGGAAUAGAGUGGGGGUGAGAACUACUUUCCAUAGUUCCAGUGGGCUCGGACGCGACUCUGCCGAUCUUCCCCACUAGGUCAAGUGGGCACAAGCAAAAAAGAUAGAUAGAUAGAUAGAUAUCUGAAAGCUGUAAAUGCGAUAGUAGGAACAACUAUGCUAACUAUGCCCAAAAUCAUGAAUAUGAAUGCAUGCAUCAUAUAAUAAAGGUUUGCUACCAUGCUAACAAAUUCGAUACAUGUUCGAAUAGUAAUGUUCAAUGACAUUUUUAAACGUUUAUCUUUCCAUUUACCCAAUCUGUGGCGAGACCCUGGGGCUCGUCAAUGACUCACCUUUCAAUCCCAAAGUAGGGAGGGAGCUCCAAGUGCACCCAAGCCCGGGACCGUCUGCGGACCUCCAUGUGGUCCGGACCUCCAAGUGGUCCUAAUCGCACGACACUCCGGAGUACUCGACGACAAUCCCCUCCAUGUGGGGAUAGGAUGGCUAUACCACCCCAAAGCAGACUGUGAGCUAGAUCUAUCCUCUCCAAGUGAGGAUACACUACACUAGGGUCAACAACCCAAUCAAAUCCUCUCCAAGUGAGGAUGCUCUACAACUAGAGUCAACAUCUCUCGCGGAAUCAUUUGUUCCCGACAUUCAUGCAAUGCUAUUUAGCUUUCUAAAUUCAUUGUUCACAAGGCAUUUUCUAAGGGAUCCACCUAUCCCUAGGUUCUCAAACCUCUAGUGUUAUUUACACUACAUUAAUGCCACUCAUCAUCAUUUAACGUUUGGAUGCCACUUAUGUGUUCCUUGACACUAACCACUACUUUCUAUGUCAUCAACACCCCCAUUGGGUUCAUCUCUUUUCUUUCGCAUCAUAGGAUCCACGUUCCGACCCAAUCCUCACCUAUCUAAGUUACCAAGCGUUCCAAGUACACUAGGUUAUCAAUUAGAAAGCAUAAGGAAAGGUACUACUAUGCAAUCCUACAAUACAACAUGCAAGAGAUGAGAUUAAAUGCAAUCUAAGACAUAGAAUGGAGUUCGAAAGCUUCGGGAUGGCACCCCCCACCUUUUAUCGAUGAAGAGGCUUUAGAAAUGAUCCUCGGCGAACUUUACGAAAAGGCUUUAGCCUUCCUUGCCUAAGACAAUGCUAGAUCGGCCUCGUUUUGCCGAUAACUUCACGCCGGCUCGCCGAAUGCUAAAACCGACUUCGCCCCCACAUUUUGUGACCUAGCAAUUAGGUUUCCAAGGCUUCAAAUGAGAUCAAUCUCAUACUUUCUCAAAAACCCCAUUUUGGAGCCCUAGGUUUGCACCUAUAGCAAACCACCAAUAAAUCCCUAGAUUUCUUGGGAUUGAUCUAUUUAGAAGCUUGCUUAGGGUCCAUUUGAUCCAUUCCUAAGCAUCAAAACCCAAAACCCUAAGUUCUAAAAGCUAGGGUUCAAGAGCUUACCUCUUGAGCUACUCCAAAGAGAAGAUAAGAGGGAGAUGAAGGUGUCCAAGGCCUUCCUCUUGGUCUCCUUCUUCUUCUUCUUCUUUUUUUCUUCUUCUCCUUUUCCUUCCUCUCCUUCUUGUUCCUCUUUUUCUUCUUCUCCUUCUAGGGAGAGAGAGGGUGAGAAAAUAUGAGAGGGAGAGAGUGUGAGUGAGGGUGAGAGAGGAAGAGGGCUCAGCCCCUCUAAUCCCUCCCUAACUAAUGCCAUUUUGCACAAAAACCCCUCAACUUUUAAUACUAUACACUGCCCUUACUGGGCAGAAUUCGCGUGGAGGGACCGGUCUCCCCGACUUGGGACCGGUCCCCAAGGGCCUUCCUCGGGCGCACACGUUCGGGAACCGGUCCCUCCCCGGGAGACCGGUCCUCGGGAGACCGGUCCUCGCCUGAGAGACCGGUCCCCGAGAGCUCGAUUUUCAGGACUUAGCCAAAUUUCAGCAUUUCUCGCCGGGACCACGUUCAGGAACCGGUCCCUCCCUGCUAGGGACCGGUUGCACCAAGCAACCCCGCACACCCAGCCGAUGGAACCGGUCUCUCACCUCCAGGGACCGGUCCCCGAGAGUAACAUCAGCCCAAUGAUGCUGUUUGCACCAUUUGCUCUCGUGGACUCAACUCCAAGGCACUUUUUGUGCUUUGGACAUCUUUAAUUUCCCCAAAGGGUAUUCUCUCGAAAAAUAGUCGAUCCUGGACGAAGUACAACUCUCGGAUUUCGAGAAUUCACUUCCUUACACCGACAGCGAAACAGACUAGUGAGUAUGAUCCAAUCCUCUCAAGAGGAUACCCUAUCUACUAGGGUCAAUGUGCCUCUGCUGCACAGUCAUGAUAUAUAUAAUCAAUGUUGGAACUUCUACUAUCCCUAAGUUCAUGUCAAGUUUACUACACUAGACUCAAUGCCACUCAUUUAGUCAUUGUAGUAAAUGUCUCAAUUAUUCUACAUGCCACUCGUUCAUGUUUAGUGUUUCUACUGCACUAGUCAAUGCCACUCUACUAGGCUAUCAUGUGUCCAAGUUCGGCUCUUUAUGCCAUUAUAGGAUUUUCAUGUCACAAGACCCAAUCCUCAUGCUACCCUAGUCCAUGUGUUCGACUCAUAAGUUACACUACUAAGAAGCAUGCAAGGAAAAGGAAAUGUACAUCUAUUAACCCUAUAAUGCAAUAUGAUCAACAUAUAUAUAACUUAGACAUAAAAAGAAACCCGGAUGCUUCGGGAUGACACCCCCCACCUCUUGAGGGUAUGAAGGCUCUAGAAAUGCCCUCCAACGGACGUUACGACAAAGUCUUGGUCUUCUUGGUCCAAAAUGACGCUCAAUCGGCCUUGUUUUGCCGAUAGCUCUUGACCCACUUGACGAAUGCGAAAUCCAACCUCGCCCCCGCGUUUAGCCACCUACCAAUUAGGUUAGAGGAGGGUCAAAUGAGAUCAAUCCUCUACUUUUCCAAAAACCCUAUUUUGGAGUCCUAGGGUUCCCAUCUUGCCAUUUGCAAUUUGGAACCCUAACUCUAGCUUCAAUCCACCAACAAUGGUGCUUGGGUUCCAUUUGACCCCAUUCCCAAAGCUAAAAACCAAAAAACCCCAAAUUUCACAAGCUAGGGUUAGAAGCUUAACUCUAGGUUAGCUCCAAGAGAGAAGAGAGGAAGAGGGAGAGGUCCAAAGCCUUCCUAGAUUGAUCUUCUUCUUCUUCUCCUUCCUUUUCUUCCUUCUUUUCCUUCUGUUUCCUUCUUUUUCUUCUUUUUCUUCUUUUCUUCUAGAGAGAGAGAUGGAGAAAGAGUGUGAGAGAGAGAGGGAGUAGAAUGAGAGAGUGAGGGAGUAAUCUCCCAUGUAUACCCCUCUAACUAAGGCCAUUUUGCAUAAAAGCCCCUCACCUUUCAUCUCUGUGCACUGCCCUCACUGGGCUGUCUGCGCGCGGAGGGACCGGUCUCCCCGACUUGGGACCGGUCCCCGAGAGCUUCAGCUCGGGUCACGCGUUCGGGUACCGGUCUCUCCCAGAGAGACCGGUCCUCGGGAGACCGGUUCCUUCCUGAGAGACCGGUUCCCGAGAGCUGGGAUUUAGGACUUAGCCAAAUUUUGGCUUUUCUCGCUGGGAUCACGUUCGGGAACCGGUCCCUCACUGCCAGGGACCGGUUGCCUCAAGCAACCCCCGCAACACCAGCCGAUGGGACCGGUCCCUCCCUGCCAGGGACCGGUCCCCGAGAGCAAUUUUGCUCCAGUGCAGAUUUUGCACUAUUUACUCCCGUGGACUCGUUUCCAAUGCACUUUUGGUGAUUUGAAUACCUUUGGCUUUUUUUUCCAAGGUACACCAACACGACCCUUGGUCGAUUCUGGAUGAAGUCUAAUCCUCGUAUUUCAAGAAUUCACUUCCUCACAAGCUUACCUCAAACAAAGUCCUCCCAUGGUGAGGAAGAAGAUGAGAAGAAGAAGCUUCCUCUUCUUAGCUUCCUUCUCCUCCUUUGUUCUCUUUUUCUUCUUUUCCUUUUCCUUUCCUUCCCUUUCUUUCUUCUUCUCCUUCUUGUCUUCUAGAGAGAGAAAGAGAGGAGAGAGUGUGAGAGGGUGUGAGGAAAUGAGAGAAGGCCCUCAUAACCCCCUCAACAUAACCCAUAUAUUGCAUAAAUGCAAAUAAGCCCCUCAGCUUUUAUUCUGUUACACUGCCCAGACUGGGCGCUUCUCGCGCUCGGGGACCAGUCUCCCCGACAAGGGACCGGUCCCAGAGAGCUCUCCCUGAAGCUGGCAAAGCUCCAGCUUGAUGCAACCGGUCUCUCUCUGGGGGACCGGUCUCUCGGGGACCGGUCUCUCCCCGCAGGGACCGGUUCCCAAGAGCAGGUUUUCUGGGACUUCGCCAAACUUUUCCUUUUCUCACCUUUCACGCGUACGGGGACCGGUCUCUCCUUCAGAGACCGGGGACCGGUCUCUCCUUCAGAGACCGGUCCCCGAGAGCUGAAAACCUGCAGAAUGCAGAUUUUUGACUUUUAAGCUCUCGAAGACCUCCCAUAACGCACUUUUGAUCAUCUUAACACCUUCGGACUUUCCGAAGUGUACCAUCCUCACACCUUGGUCAAUUUGACUAAAGUUCGAUAUUUAUUUUCCGAACUUUCGGUAUAUUUCAGUAGCCUUGCUCGGCAUAUUAAUAUACAUUAGGUGCAUAUAAUUAUUUCCCCUUUUUUCAAUUAAUUUUACCAACAUAAACACACCUUCAUCUUUUCAACAAUUUAAAAUAGGGUUAAUUGCAUACACGUCCCUGCAAACAUGGUGAAUUGCAGAUAUAUCCCUGCAAAACUAAAUUUUCAUAAGUUGUCCCUGCAAAAGUCCUAAUAUAUGCAGAUAUGUCCCUGCUGUUAGGGUCUGUUAAAAAAUUUCGUUAACCACAGUUAAAAACUUAAUCAUGGUUAAUUAAUAAUGUGAAUUGACGGUUUUACCCUUCUUCCUCUUCCUCCUCUUCCUCUUCCCUCUUUUUCGACGCCGGCGAGGAAGGAGAUGCGGCGGUGAACCCUCUCCCUCUCCCUCUUUCUCUCCCUCUUUCUCUUCUCCCUUCUUCUUCCUUCCCUCUUCCUCUUCCAUCUUCUUCGUCGCCGGCGAGGAAGGAGAUGCGGCGGCGGCGGCGAACCCUCUCCCUCUUCCCUCUUCCCCUCCCUCCUCAUUCCCUUCUUCCUCUUCUCUCUUCUUCUUCCUCCCCUUCUUCCUCUUCCCUCUUCUUCUUCCUCCCCUUUUUCCUCUUCCCUCUUCUUCUUUCUCUUCUUCUUUCUCUUCCAUCUUAUUCGUUGCCGGGGAACCCGACCCCGAUCUUGCCGAAGCGCCGCCGCCGCCGUCCGCUCCGACGGCCCGAAGAGGGAGAGAAAGAGAAAGAGGAAAUACUUUUGGAGGGACAUAUUUGUGAGGGCAAAAAUAUUAUUUCACAAAUCCACUGUUAAAAAAUAAACAGUUCACUAAUGGAUGUUAACCAGAGGGACAUAUCUGCAUACAUUAGGACUUUUGCAGGGACAAUGUAACAUAUCGCAUCCCCGUAGAACGUGCCAAGUUCCGUCGAAAUGAGCGGAACGCGGAGUCGGAUGAGUUACAAUGGGUUCUAAGUGCAUUAGGACCUUAGUAUAGAGUAAAGGGACCUAAGAGAGCAAAAUUGUGAAAAUCUGGCUAAGUCCCAGAUUUUGAGCUCUCGGGUCCGGUCCUUGCGGGGAGAGACCAGUCCCCGUAGGUUGGAAAAUUGCCCAGCGGCUAAGUUCUGAAAAUCGUGCCCUCAGGAACCAGUCCCUGGAGGAGAGACCGGUCGCCGUGCGCGUAGCCAGCCAAAAAGAGUGAAAAUUUAGCUAAGUCCUGAGAGGUGUGCUCUCGGGAACCGGUCCCUACGGGGAGAGACCGGUCCCCGUAUGCGAAUUCUGCCCAGGAUGGGCUGUUGUGAAAAAUGGAAUUGAGAGGGGUUUAAGUGCAAAUCUGCCAUGUGUAGGUGUAUAGAAGUGAAUGGUAUUGAAUGAGAGCUCAUUUGCUCUCAUGCCAAUACCUAGGGCAACCCUCUCUAUCUCUAAAAACCUCUCUUCUCUCUCUCCUUCUCUCUAGAGCUUGGACCAAGGAGGCUUUUUGGAGGGAUCUAGGUAGAGAAGAAGAAGAAGUAGAAGGUGUAGCUUGCAAGAGUGCAAGUGUACAAGGAAGGCUUGGACUCCAAGGUGAGUUUCUAAGGUUUUGAGUUAGUGUUUGAGUAAUAGCUUCUUGUAUGAGUAUCUAGGAGCUUCUAUGGUGAUUUCCCCCAUGUUAUUCCUGUAAAAGGACUAGUUUUGGGGAAGAUGACAUUGUUGAGGGACCUAAGGUUAGGGUUUUGGAAUUUUGAGGUUCAAUCUUGGGAUUGAUCUCUUUUUAACCUAAUUGGUAGGUCAACGAACGCGUUGGUGCGCUCAGUUCGGCGAAACGACGAGCGUGCGCGGAGAUAUUGCGAAAAGAAGCUAAAUUGGUACAGAUUGCCGCAGCUUGCGGCGUAGAAGUCUAAAAAUCGUGAAAAUUGGAUUGCGGCAUCUUAGCAUCACCAAGAGGUGGGGGGUGCUAUCCAGAAACACCGAAUUUCCUUCUAUGUCUAUAUUAUCAUUAUUGAAUAUAUUGAUGUUAGCAUUCAUGCAUAUAGGGUAGUGUGAUGAAUAUGAUUGGUUGAGAUUCAAUUGUAUGCUAGAGAACAUAUGAAUUGAUGUAGAACCAUAUGAACUAAGAAUGUGAAAAAUCCUAUGUGUAUGUGAAUGUAUGAAAAUGAGACUAUGACAAUAGUAAACAAUGGUGAUAUUGACAUUAGUGACGAGAUUGGCACUGAGCAUAAGAACGGCUAAACAAGGUUUAACCUAGAAUGGCAUCAGGACCAUUGUGGCUCAGAUAUAGUGGGAAUGUGAUAUGGUAAUGACCUAUCCUUGGCAUUGAGGCUUUGUGCAUUGAGACAGGUUUGGCAAUACUUCCUCAAUUUGAGGAUUGGAUCGUACUCACACUGGCUUUGGCUUAAGGGAGGUAGCUCCCCCUCAAGCGGUGUACUCCUGAGUGUAUACACCACGGGGAGAGGCCUCGUCAUUGUUCCCUCGGGUAGUAGUGCUAGUAGCCUCCCCCGGUAGAUGGGAAUUGUGGUUCGUGAGUUUGGGGUGAACCAUGUGUACCCCGGGAUGAUUGGGUAAAGGCCAAAGAAAAUGAGAACAAGGACAUGCAUGCAUAAUAUUAUGAAUACGAAUAUCUAUCUGUGGAUUGUUUUCUUGCAGGCAUUGUAUUAGAAGUGUAUUAGUUGGUUUGUUAUCUUCCUUUAUUGAAAUACAUAUGCCUCAAUAGACCCAAUGGGCGAGUCGGCGCGGUCGGCGGCCGAACCCACUGGGAACUUCUUUUAGUUCUCACACCACCACUAACCCUGCAGAUCCAUGCGCAAGCGGGACGGCGGAGGAUCGAGGCAAGGGAUUAGCGGCGUAGUUAGCGGCCCACAGAGUUAUAGGCAUACCCUAUGCUGGAGUAUUCAACUUUUGUAUGUUGAACUAAGAAAUGCAAAGAGAUGUAAAUCAUAUUUUGGUUGAUAGACAAUGUGAUGUAAAUGUGAAUGAAUGAGAAUGAAUGUAAAUGUAAUAGAUUACUUGUGUUUGAUUAAAAUGUAAUCAAAUGACAUGUAUGUGGGUAAAUGUUUAGUUUAGUAUCGAUGCUUUCACGUGAGAUGGUUGUUGUUUGCCCUCGUGUAAACGUUAUAUAAUUGCAUUCAUUUGUGUUGAAUUGCUUGUAUUAUACAUGUUGUUGGAGCCUUAGGCGGACAGGGGAGGUGCAGUCCGUUCGGCGUCUGUUCGCGUGCCCGAACCGACCAAAUUGACGGCUCCGGGGCAUGACAGACAACUUAUGGAAAUUGUAUUUUGCAGGGAUAUAUCUGCAAUUCACUAUGUUUGCACCGACGUGUAUGCAAUUAACCCUUUAAAUAAGUCAUUAAAGUUUAACAUUUUAGUUAAAAAAAGUUUAUACAAUAGCUACUAAAACUAUUAAAUUUGAUUAAACUAUUAAAUAAAAUUGUUAGAAUAGAAAAAGUUAAAAAAUAUCUAUAAAAUAUAUGAAUUCUCAAUGCAGUUGGGUCACAUCUAACAAAAACAGAUAGUGACGUCAUCAAUUAAACAAUAAACUAAUGAGAACUUGCCAAUUGUCCGAUGAAAAUUUGGAUGUACCCAUUAACCAACUUUAAAAAUUAUAAAAUAUAUGAAUUCUCAGUGCAGUUGGGUAACAUCCAACAAAAACAGAUAGUGACAUCAUCAAUUAAACAAUAAACUAAUGAAAACUUGCCAAUUGUCCAAUGAAAAUUUGGAUGUACCCACAAACCAACUUUAAAAUACACAUAAAAGAUAAAUUUAUAUUAUUCAAUAAAAUUUUAUAUUGUAUAUUUUAUAUUAUAUUAUAUUUUAUAAUAUUAAUUAUUAAAUAUUUUAUCAAUCAUUUAAUACACCAUGUAGUAUAUGAAGCAUUAGUAUGGGAUAUUAUAUUAAUAUACGUUAGGUGCAUAUAAUAGUUUCGUAUUUUUUCAAUUAAUUUUACCAAGAUAAACACACCUUCAUCUUUUCAAUAAUUUAAAAUAUGUCAUUAAAGAUUAACAUUUUAGUUAAAAAAAGUUUAUACAAUAGCUACUAAAACUAUUAAAUUUGAUUAAACUAUUAAAUAAAAUUGUUAGAAUAGAAAAAGUUAAAAAAUAUCUAUAAAAUAUAUGAAUUCUCAAUGCAGUUGGGUCACAUCUAACAAAAACAGAUAGUGACGUCAUCAAUUAAACAAUAAACUAAUGAGAACUUGCCAAUUGUCCGAUGAAAANAAAAUAUUAUAUAUUCGUCACGGGAUUCUCCAUUAGUAGAAUGGUUGGGGUUGGGGCCACUUUUUUUCUUUUUCCUUUUUUUUUUUUUUCUCGGCUUUCCAUCCAAUUCGUUUAUCUCACAUGUUCCACUGAUUUGUGUAGGGGGGAUAAUUUCUAUCCAAACGAAUUCCCCUCUCUUAUUAUAAAAAUUUUAAAAGUAUUUAAUUUUUUUACACAUAAUAUUUUAUAUAGGUUAGAUUGGUUAUAUUAAAUAUAAAUUUUGAUUUAUAAUAUUAAUCGCUUAAAAAUAGGUUGUACAACAAAAAUAAAAAAAGAGAGAUAGAUUGACGGAGUUUAAUUAAGUUAAUUAUUUAUACUAAUAUAUUAAUUUAUAGUUGUGAGAACUGUAUAAAGUAUACUAACUAAAUCUAUAUAGAUAAACGAUACAUUCAAAUUUCAAAGUCAAAAUAUUAUUGACUGGCUCAAAUCAAAUAAAUUGAAAGUUUGGAUCGUAAAAAUAAAAUUUGAAAGAUUAGAUAGAUGAUUCAAAUUGGUCUAUAAUUUAGGAAAGUUUUACAUGUUUUUAUUUUGAUUUUAAUAACAAACCGUAACGUCAUAUUUAUAGUUGAUGAGCGAUCAACCUCACACUUAGAAUUUUUAGAAAUAUCCAAAAUAUUGUAAUUAGGUAUUCUAAACUUUAUUAGAUAAUUUAGUAGGUUUAUUUCUUGAAUGAAAUUACUGCUUGAACAAAAUCGAUCAAUGUUCAACUCCUUACUUCAUCUGGAAUAAAAAUAAAAAUAUAUGUAUGCUGUCUAUCUCUCAAAAAAGAAUAAAUAGUAAAAAAGUAAAUUACACUUUUUGUCACGCCCCGCGACCGCUACCAAUUUGGUCCGGCCCGGGCGCGUCGAACAGACGCCGAACGGACAGGACCUCCCCUGUCCGUCCAAGGCUAACCAACAGAUCGUGCAUAAGAAUUUACCCAGGAAUCAAUUCAUAAAUACACGAUCAAUAAGCACCACUAGUGCCAUAAACAAGAGCAAGAUACAAGUAUAGAAACAUAUACAAGUACAUAAGAGAGAAGAGACUAUCUAUUACAUUCAUUUGAUUUACUACAUUUAGAUACAUCUUUUACAUUCUUCCAAAAUAUAAAUACAAGCAAUCAACCCUCGCCCUAUACAACAUCUACUCUCAAAUACAAAAGGGGUGACGGCUAAUGCAAGAAGAGGAGGUAGCUAAUGCGACUAGAACGCCGGGCCCUUACCGCGAUCCUCACGCUCACCGGGGACACCCGAACUGGAACCUGUGGUAAAAUGGGGGUGAGAACUAACUUCCUUAGUUCCCAGUGGGUUCGGCCGCCGACUCCGCCGAUCUCCCCACUAGGUCCAAGCGGGCAUAAGUAGACAAUCGAUAGAUAGGUAGAUAGAUAAGGAAAGCUGUAAAUGGCGGAAAUGAAGCUACGCUACCAUGCCCAAUCAUAAGUAUAUGAAUGCAUGUCCAAUGAAAUAGGUAAGCAACUAAUCUGUUAUCAUGUCCAAGGGUGAAGCUAUUCACUCGUUCAUUAACCUCAUUUACUUGUUCAUUAAUCUCAUGGCUUACCCGAAGGCUCGCCUACAGCUCACUAGCCAUCUCGACACGUAGGGAGAAUUAACUCACACUACGGACCCGAGACCGUCUGGCGGGGCCAAAUAGGCAAUCCCUGGCGUGACCAACAUCCGGAGCGCACUACUUGUGUGGGGCUUCCAUCACAAGAUUUAACAGACCGUGAGCAUGAUCCAAUCCUCUAAGCUCGAGGAUACCCUGUCCUCUAGAGUCACAAUCAUCAUAUAGUCCAUAGGUGUCGCAUACACUAUUAACUAGAUUGUCCGUUUGUCCGCUAUCGACUAGAUGCCACUCGUUCAUAGUUUACUAUUAACUAGAUGCCACUCGUUCAUAGUUCAUCAUUUUCUCUACAUCAUAGGAUUCACAAUCUCGACCCAAUCCUUAUCAAUCCAAUAUAUCAAUUAUCCGAUGUACGCUACGAUACCAUGAAGGAAAAACAUAAGGAAAGGCAAUGCAUACUAAUCCUAUAAUGCAAUAAUACAAGAUGCAAGAUCAAAUAUACUAAGACAUAGGAGGGAGCCCGAUUGCUUCGGGAUGGACACCACCCACCUCUUGGCGAUGCCGUGAUAGUAGAAAACUCGACGUUGGGGUUCUUGUACGCCGCUUCAACUCCUCGGGGCGAAGCGAGCCCUCGAGUACCCGAUUCGGCGAUUUCUCCGCACCCGCUCGUCGGAUCGAGAAACCGACUUCGCCGACGCGUUCCGGGACCUAGCAAUUAGGUUUGCGACCUAUUAGAUUAGAUCAAAACCCUAGAUUUACCAAAAACCCAAUUCCGUGCCCUAGGAUGGCAACGGGGAAGAAAUCCGUGGUGCGAGCUUCAAUUGCGAGCUCGAACCUUCUCCCUAGUUCCAUUAGGUCCCAUUCAAACCAUAAAAACCCCAAAACCCUAGAAACACCAUUAAAGGGUUUAGAGCUUACCCCUACACAAGGUUCCUUCAAGCUUGAGGGAGAGGGAGAGAAGAAGAUAUCUUCUUCUUCUUCUUCUUCUUAGUCUUCUCUUUCUCUUUCUUCUUCUUUCUCUUCUUCUUCUCCUUCCUCUUCUUCUUCUCCUUCUUCUCUUUCUUUUCUUUUCUUUCUUAGAGAGAGAGAGAAAAGAGGGUAAGAGAGAGAGAGAAAGCAGCUGAGAGUGAGAGAGAGGGGUCCCCCACCUCUAAUAAAGGCCAUUUUGCAUAAAAGCCCCUCAACUUUCACCCUAGUGCACUACCCUCACUGGGCAGUUUUCGCGCGGAGGGACCGGUCUCCCCGACUUGGGACCGGUCCCCGAAGGCUGCCAUUUCGAGCAGAGGGAUUUUCGCGUUCGGGAACCGGUCCUUGCCUGAGAGACCGGUCCCCGGGAGACCGGUCCUUGUCCGAGAGACCGGUUCCCGAGAGCUGCAUUCUCGGGACUUAGCCAAAUUUGGCUAAAUCUCGUCGGGCCAACGUUCGGGAACCGGUCCCUGCCCACCAGGGACCGGUCUCAUCAGAGACCUCCGCAACCCAGCCUGAUGGAACCGGUCCCUCCCUGCCAGGGACCGGUCCCCGAGAGCAUUUCUGCUCCAGUGCAGAUUUUGCACUGGUGCUCCCGCGGACCCUUCUUUAAUGCACUUUAUGCAUUAUAAUCGCCUUCGGGCUUUCCGAAGCCUACGCACUCGACGAAUAGUCGAUUCUGGUCGAAGUCUAAUCCUCGAGUUUCGAGAAUUCACUUCCUUACAUCCUUCCCACCUUAAAAGAGUUUCGUCCUCGAAACGAACUCAAUACUCCAAAACUUGAUUAGAAUUUCAAAUUCUAAAUUCAUACCUCAAUUUAGCCUUCAAACAGGCGAGGAUGAUUCGCCUUCAUCUCCUC
RNAcentral lists this long non-coding RNA (13700 nucleotides) under Ananas comosus (pineapple). Its description in RNAcentral is "long non-coding RNA (ACOM_LNC026621)". Lineage: Eukaryota; Viridiplantae; Streptophyta; Magnoliopsida; Poales; Bromeliaceae. The record is from RNAcentral.